This 253-nucleotide ribosomal RNA is filed under the name uncultured bacterium. RNAcentral's name for it is "partial 16S ribosomal RNA". It matches the Rfam family "Bacterial small subunit ribosomal RNA", at positions 524 to 776 of the family's 1533-position model. The record is from RNAcentral.
UACGGAGGAUCCGAGCGUUAUCCGGAUUUACUGGGUUUAAAGGGUGCGUAGGCUGUUCGCUCAGUCAGCGGUGAAAUGGCGCGGCUCAACCGUGCAGCUGCCGUUGAAACUGGCGAGCUUGAGUGGGUUCGAGGCAGGCGGAAUGCGCGGUGUAGCGGUGAAAUGCAUAGAUAUCGCGCAGAACGCCAAUAGCGUAGGCAGCUUGCCAGGCCCCAACUGACGCUGAGGCACGAAAGCGUGGGGAUCAAACAGG